This is a long non-coding RNA of Vicia villosa (hairy vetch), 1173 nucleotides long. RefSeq lists it as uncharacterized. Lineage: Eukaryota; Viridiplantae; Streptophyta; Magnoliopsida; Fabales; Fabaceae. The transcript has 6 exons. The record is from RefSeq and is a predicted model, not a curated record.
ACAACUAAAGCAAAGAAGAAAAAAACCCUAAGAGUAAAGCUUCAGUCCGCCUCCCUCCAGCACCAUUCUUCUUCUCACGCUCAUCUUUCUCAGAUCCUCACUUGGUCUCAGAUUUCGUCAUCGGUGUUUAGCGUCAUCGAGUGUGAAUUGAUUAUGAGUGUUAUUUGCAGGUUUUGAAUCCGUGGAUGUCGAAGAACCGUUGAAUUUGAAGCUGCUACUUGUAUGGAACGAAUUGAUGCAAUUCGGUGUGUUCGUGGUGGUUGUCCACGGCUCUUGUUCCUGCUGAGUGUUGUAUACGAUUUGAGGUUGUUGAAGAUUGAUUUACUCGGUGCAUUGAUGCGAUGAUUUGUUGCCAAAGAUACGCGUCGGGGUUGUCGCCAUUUGUUUACGAAACCAACGUUCCAACUACUUUCAUCGAAGUACCAGCAAGAGAAUGGUAUAAACAAUACUACCAACAGAUGCAAUCCGUAGUAAUGUCAUUCGAGUAUGUUUUGGGCCUCAAAACGCAGCUUCUUAUGCAAGUCUGGCAAUAAAAUCCACGUUGAAACAUUUUAGAUGUUUGAAGAAGGAAAUUUCCGACUAAAUUCAGUCCAAUAAUAAGGAUUGUUUUCACUCAAACAAUAGAAGGGACGAGGCUUCGAGAUUUGGAAAUAACAAACAAUAGGGCUUGGCUGUUUUAACAUUUUCUGCAUCUCCUUGUGUUGGUUGAACGUAACUAUAGGGACUUCAAGACAAGAUCCAAUUGGUUCCUUUUGAUCUUCAAAAUAGACUUGCAUGGCAUAAGGAAAAAGUAUAUCCUGAAAAUAAGAUUUCAAUGUCUCUGAGAUACAAGUUGAAGUUGUUUUUAAUAUGAGCCUAAGAAAACUGACCCUUGAGGAGCAUAUUUGAACUAUAAGCUUUGUGCUGUGCAAAGCAACAACUUUGUGGCUGAAAAAAAUCUUUGACUGAAUAAAUUUCCAAGUUAGAGGAGCUGUCGUCAACCGGAAAAAAUAUUCUGGAGCGUAGAAAACAACAAACAACAACCAUUGAUGGCAUAUAAAAGGUGGUGCAUGAUGAUAGAGAUUAGCUUAUUCUUUUAUGUAAAUAAUAAUUAUCAUUAGUAAUUUUUUUUACCAAGAUGUUUAUGUUAUAGUUAUGUAAUAACUAUGUAGAAUAAUUUUGGUAAUAAUUCAU